RNAcentral lists this ribosomal RNA (860 nucleotides) under Crassiparies quadrisporus. Its description in RNAcentral is "partial large subunit ribosomal RNA". It matches the Rfam family "Eukaryotic large subunit ribosomal RNA", at positions 72 to 951 of the family's 3401-position model. Lineage: Eukaryota; Fungi; Ascomycota; Dothideomycetes; Pleosporales; Neohendersoniaceae. The record is from RNAcentral.
GGAUGGCCCUAGUAACGGCGAGUGAAGCGGCAACAGCUCAAAUUUGAAAUCUGGCUCCCUCUGGGGUCCGAGUUGUACUUUGCAGAGGGCGCUUUGGCGUCGGCAGCGGUCUAAGUUCCUUGGAACAGGACGUCACAGAGGGUGAGAAUCCCGUACGUGGCUGCUUGCCUUCGCCGUGUAAAGCCCCUUCGACGAGUCGUGUUGUUUGGGAAUGCAGCACUAAAUGGGAGGUAAAUUUCUUCUAAAGCUAAAUACCGGCCAGAGACCGAUAGCGCACAAGUAGAGUGAUCGAAAGAUGAAAAGCACUUUGGAAAGAGAGUCAAAAAGCACGUGAAAUUGUUGAAAGGGAAGCGCUUGCAGCCAGACUUGCUUGCGGUUGCUCAUCCGGGCCUGUGCCCGGUGUACUCUUCCGCAGGCAGGCCAGCAUCAGUUUGGGCGACUGGAGAAAGGCCUCUGUCAUGUACCUUCCCUCGGGAAGGCCUUAUAGGGGAGGCGUAAUGCAGCCAGUCCAGACUGAGGUCCGCGCAUCUGCUAGGAUGCUGGCGUAAUGGCUGUAAGCGGCCCGUCUUGAAACACGGACCAAGGAGUCUAACAUCUAUGCGAGUGUUUGGGUGUCAAGCCCGAGCGCGUAAUGAAAGUGAACGGAGGUGAGAACCCUCGGGUGCAUCAUCGACCGAUCCUGAUGUCUUCGGAUGGAUUUGAGUAAGAGCAUAGCUGUUGGGACCCGAAAGAUGGUGAACUAUGCUUGAAUAGGGUGAAGCCAGAGGAAACUCUGGUGGAAGCUCGCAGCGGUUCUGACGUGCAAAUCGAUCGUCAAAUUUGGGCAUAGGGGCGAAAGACUAAUCGAACUAUCUAAUAGC